CAGGAUAUAGACGCAGCAGAACUGCUACUGUUUUUGGCGUCCAGAUUCUUGAAAAUGAAAGAAAAAUUAAAAACUGCACUUUUCUUUAUUUCUCUUUUUCUCUCUCUCUCUCUCUCUCUUUUUUUUUUACAACAGAAUAACCGCUAUUUGUGGAGGAUAGGUGCAUCAACGUCAUAAAAUAAAGAUCACCCAGCUGCAUGUUUCCAGUUUACCCAUUCUGGGUGUGAGAGGAUGAAGAAGAGGAGGAGGAGGAGGAGGAGGAAGAGGAGGUGGAGGUGGCGGGGGCAUCCAGAGGAAGACGCAUGUAAACCCAUUUCCAAACAAACGGGCCAGUGUUCACGGCGGCGCCCGGCAUAAUGAAUCAACGCGAGCGACCGGCACAACAGGACAUGGUGGCCAUUUAACACCGGGAUCUCUGGGAAAUUUAUCCAGGAAUCCUCACUGUAUAUUAAUGCAUAGAGGAGGGGCCCCAUGGCUCCACGGGCCCCAAACGUUCCUGGAGAGGAGGACAUCGGCGUCUCCUGAUGUAAGGAAAGCCCAGAGCUGCAUUGUUUUUAAUCUACUGGAGAUUAAUAAUAAUAAUAAUAAUAAUAAUAAUAGUAAAAAUACUAAUGUUCUGUGAAUUAAAAAAAUGUCACUUUUCGUCUUAAGUCCUGAAACUGUGGUUAGAAUGAAAUGAAAGAAAAAAAAUCAAUAAAAAAAAAGAGGGAAAGUUUAACUAUAAAGUUAGAAAUCAGGACUUGAGUGUGGUUGACUGUUUUUAAAGAGACGGAAAAAAAGUAUUCUGUGUAAAAACAA
Long non-coding RNA from Gambusia affinis (western mosquitofish), 798 nucleotides. RefSeq lists it as uncharacterized. The transcript has 3 exons. The record is from RefSeq and is a predicted model, not a curated record. NCBI's taxonomy places the organism in Eukaryota, Metazoa, Chordata, Actinopteri, Cyprinodontiformes, Poeciliidae.